This 613-nucleotide ribosomal RNA is filed under the name uncultured bacterium. Its description in RNAcentral is "bacterial SSU rRNA". It matches the Rfam family "Bacterial small subunit ribosomal RNA", at positions 338 to 945 of the family's 1533-position model. The record is from RNAcentral.
CCUACGGGAGGCAGCAGUGGGGAAUUUUGGACAAUGGACGCAAGUCUGAUCCAGCCAUGCCGCGUGCGGGAAGAAGGCCUUCGGGUUGUAAACCGCUUUUGUCAGGGAAGAAACGGCUUUCUCUAAUACAGAGAGUUAAUGACGGUACCUGAAGAAUAAGCACCGGCUAACUACGUGCCAGCAGCCGCGGUAAUACGUAGGGUGCAAGCGUUAAUCGGAAUUACUGGGCGUAAAGCGUGCGCAGGCGGUUAUGCAAGACAGAUGUGAAAUCCCCGGGCUCAACCUGGGAACUGCAUUUGUGACUGCAUAGCUAGAGUACGGUAGAGGGGGAUGGAAUUCCGCGUGUAGCAGUGAAAUGCGUAGAUAUGCGGAGGAACACCGAUGGCGAAGGCAAUCCCCUGGACCUGUACUGACGCUCAUGCACGAAAGCGUGGGGAGCAAACAGGAUUAGAUACCCUGGUAGUCCACGCCCUAAACGAUGUCAACUGGUUGUUGGGAGGGUUUCUUCUCAGUAACGAAGCUAACGCGUGAAGUUGGCCGCCUGGGGAAGUCGGCCGCAAGGUUGAAACUCAAAUGAAUUGNGNGNGAGAGNGCGAGNGACGAGAGGGAGGAG